GUCACAUGGCUCAGUGGCUGGAGCAUUUCCCUGAAUUGCAAGGACCUGGGUUCAACUCCCAGCGAGACA
Sesbania bispinosa (prickly sesban) is the source of this 69-nucleotide non-coding RNA. Lineage: Eukaryota; Viridiplantae; Streptophyta; Magnoliopsida; Fabales; Fabaceae. The record is from the annotation of a GenBank genome assembly.